This 25-nucleotide unclassified non-coding RNA is filed under the name Mus musculus (house mouse). RNAcentral describes it as "oocyte_clustered_small_RNA8393". Lineage: Eukaryota; Metazoa; Chordata; Mammalia; Rodentia; Muridae. The record is from RNAcentral.
UUCAGGAUUGAACUGCAGCUGCCUG